RNAcentral lists this long non-coding RNA (855 nucleotides) under Homo sapiens (human). RNAcentral's name for it is "HSALNT0295580". Lineage: Eukaryota; Metazoa; Chordata; Mammalia; Primates; Hominidae. The record is from RNAcentral.
GAGCACAAGAGUAUAAGAAAUUCCGGCUGCCUGUUUCUGGGCUAUUUAAAUCCCAGUAGACAUGCUCUCUUGUACAGACUUCCUGGGCUCAACCCAGCUCACAGGGAGCUGGGGAAUCUGUAUUACAUUAUCAGUUAUUGUUUUUGGUCAAAUCUAAGGACAAACAUAUGAAGAAGCAGAGCAUGCAGCACUGGUUCAGGAGGUUCAAGCAACAUUAUCAGAUUCUUGUUGAGAAACAAAUGGUUGUUACUGUGCCACCGCACACUGCAGACAAUUCCUAGAUAUCGAGAGAGGUCCAAGCUAGCAACAGAGAAUUUAAUACUAGCUGCUGGACCGGGACUCCUGGGCUCACUAUGUUGCAGCUACAGAUUCUCAGAAUGCCAUUUAAACUUCCUGAGUUUAUCUGAGAAGUAAACCAAGGGUGUAGGUGAUGAGGCAGCAUUUACUGGUACAGUUAGUCCCCCCUUAUCCACAGUUUUGCUUUCCAUGGUGUCAGUUACCCACAGUCAACCACAGUCUGAAAAUGUUAAAUAGAAAAUUCUAGAAAUGAACAACUCAUAAAUUUUAAAUUGCACAUUGUUCUGAGCAGCAUGAUGAAAUCUCGUGCCAUCCACUCUAUCUCACCCUUGAAUCAUCCCUUUGUCCAGCACAUCCAGGCUGUAUAUAUCGCCCACCAGUUAGUCACUCAGUACUGUCUGGGUUAUCAGAUUGUUGCAGUAUCACAGCGCUUGUGUUCCAGUAACUCCUAUUUUACUUAACAAUGUAAAAGUGCAAGAGUAGUAAUGCUGGUAUAUUGUUAUAAUUGUUCUAUGUUAUUAUUAACUACUGUUAGCCUCAUUAACAUUUAAUUUAUAA